AUCCUGCUGACGAGUCCCAAAUAAGACGAGACGCGCGUCCCAGAU
Non-coding RNA from Schistosoma mattheei, 45 nucleotides. Lineage: Eukaryota; Metazoa; Platyhelminthes; Trematoda; Strigeidida; Schistosomatidae. The record is from Rfam.